RNAcentral lists this ribosomal RNA (447 nucleotides) under uncultured bacterium. RNAcentral describes it as "partial 16S ribosomal RNA". It matches the Rfam family "Bacterial small subunit ribosomal RNA", at positions 29 to 523 of the family's 1533-position model. The record is from RNAcentral.
AACGAACGCUGGCGGCAGGCCUAAUACAUGCAAGUCGAACGCACCGCAAGGUGAGUGGCAGACGGGUGAGUAACGCGUGGGAACCUUCCUAGUAGUACGGAAUAACUUCGGGAAACCAAAGCUAAUACCGUAUACGCCCUUCGGGGGAAAGAUUUAUCGCUAUUAGAUGGGCCCGCGUAGGAUUAGCUAGUUGGCGAGGUAAUGGCUCACCAAGGCUACGAUCCUUAGCUGGUCUGAGAGGAUGAUCAGCCACACUGGGACUGAGACACGGCCCAGACUCCUACGGGAGGCAGCAGUAGGGAAUAUUGGACAAUGGGCGAAAGCCUGUUCCAGCCAUGCCGCGUGAGUGAAGAAGGCCUUAGGGUUGUAAAGCUCUUUUGGCGGGGAAGAUAAUGACGGUACCCGCAGAAUAAGCCCCGGCUAACUUCGUGCCAGCCGCCGCGGUAA